UAGGGAAUCUUCGGCAAUGGACGAAAGUCUGACCGAGCAACGCCGCGUGAGUGAAGAAGGUUUUCGGAUCGUAAAACUCUGUUGUUAGAGAAGAACAAGGACGUUAGUAACUGAACGUCCCCUGACGGUAUCUAACCAGAAAGCCACGGCUAACUACGUGCCAGCAGCCGCGGUAAUACGUAGGUGGCAAGCGUUGUCCGGCUUUAUUGGGCGUAAAGCGAGCGCAGGCGGUUUCUUAAGUCUGAUGUGAAAGCCCCCGGCUCAACCGGGGAGGGUCAUUGGAAACUGGGAGACUUGAGUGCAGAAGAGGGGAGUGGAAUUCCAUGUGUAGCGGUGAAAUGCGUAGAUAUAUGGAGGAACACCAGUGGCGAAGGCGGCUCUCUGGUCUGUAACUGACGCUGAGGCUCGAAAGCGUGGGGAGCAAACAGG
This 429-nucleotide ribosomal RNA is filed under the name Gemmatimonadota bacterium. RNAcentral describes it as "Gemmatimonadetes bacterium partial 16S ribosomal RNA". It matches the Rfam family "Bacterial small subunit ribosomal RNA", at positions 355 to 776 of the family's 1533-position model. The record is from RNAcentral. Lineage: Bacteria; Pseudomonadati; Gemmatimonadota.